AGGGCCGGUUCUGCUCCGCGCUGACUCCCUGCCCUUUUCUCUCCAGCUGGUGGAGAGGAGGAGGAGCGCAGCACAGGACUACCUGGGCCAGAGCCUGCUCUACCUACAGAGCCCGCAGGAGCCCCUGCGCCGGGAGGCCGUGAGGUUCAUCGGUGAGCCACCAGACUGAGCUGCCCCUGGCCCCGGCCCUCCGCGUGGCACCCAGGGAGCAGCCGGGGUCGCUGAACAUAUGACCGCAGAGCUCAUUGGGAGGCACGACAGUCCGACGGCGCGGACCCGGUGGUGGCGGUUCGGGCGGUGCUGACCCCGCGGGACGGAACCCGGCGCCCUCCGGCGGCUCCGCGGGGCACCGCGCACGGCUGCGCUCCGGCGGGGAGGGGGGGACCCUGCGGUUUGUGCCCGGAGAGGAGGAGGAGGGUUUUGCACCUGGAACGUCGGGGUGAGCGACUUUUUACAUGGUCUGAUAGGACAAAGGGUAACGAUUUUAAACUGAAAGAGGGGAGAUUUAGGUGAGAUGCUGGGGCUAAAUUCUUCACUCAGAGGUCGGUGAGGUGCUGGCACUGCUGCCCAGAGCUCUGCGUGCCAACCCUGGAGGUGCCCCAGGCCAUGGAGGGAGGGGUCCUGGGCAGUCCGAGCUGGGGGGGCAGCCAGCCCAUGGCAGGGGUGGGGCUGGGGGCUGGGAGGUCCCUUCCAGCACAACCAUGCUGUGAUUGAUUGACUAGGAGCAGGGCAGGGUGCCUUGCCGUGGGCUUUAUGCAUGGCUCAUUUGCACUUUUCGAGGCAGGAGAGGCUCCCCGGGGUUACGUUCUGUGCAUCAGCAUCUCUUCAGGUCACAAAUACCCGCUGUGGUGACAGGACUGCUGCCACACAGAGCCGCACACUGUCACCAGUGCUGCUUGGCCCUAUCCUCAUGUUGACACAAACCUUCGAUGCAGGAAGGAAGUUCUCGCAGGGCCUCUACUGGCUGCAUCCAGCUCACCAAGGAGCAGCGCAGAGCAUCAGGCACAGUGGCAUCAUGAGGCUGAGGAAGCACACAGAAGUGCAGUCAGGCCCCCACCUCUGUUCUGGGCACACAUGGUGCCCCUCUGAGGCUCAGCCAACCCUGGGGAAAGGCGGAACACAUUUAAAAGAAGAAAAGGAAAAGGAAAAAAGAAAAAAAACCACAACCAACAAAAGAACACUUUAUUUACAUAAAUUACAAAAAAGAAAAAAAAAAAAAGGAAUCUUGGGCACAGAAAAGAUCUACUCUUAA
Molecule: long non-coding RNA, 1252 nt
Filed under: Phasianus colchicus (ring-necked pheasant)
Lineage: Eukaryota; Metazoa; Chordata; Aves; Galliformes; Phasianidae
Description: lncRNA (ENSPCLG00000017905.1)
Source: RNAcentral